This 497-nucleotide ribosomal RNA is filed under the name uncultured bacterium. Its description in RNAcentral is "partial 16S ribosomal RNA". It matches the Rfam family "Bacterial small subunit ribosomal RNA", at positions 28 to 507 of the family's 1533-position model. The record is from RNAcentral.
GACGAACGCUGGCGGCGUGCCUAAUACAUGCAAGUAGAACGCUGAAGAGAGGAGCUUACUCUUCUUGGAUGAGUUGCGGACGGGUGAGUAACGCGUAGGUAACCUGCCUUGUAGCGGGGGAUAACUAUUGGAAACGAUAGCUAAUACCGCAUAACAAUGGAUGACACAUGUCAUUUAUUUGAAAGGGGCAAUUGCUCCACUACAAGAUGGACCUGCGUUGUAUUAGCUAGUAGGUGAGGUAAUGGCUCACCUAGGUGACGAUACAUAGCCGACCUGAGAGGGUGAUCGGCCACACUGGGACUGAGACACGGCCCAGACUCCUACGGGAGGCAGCAGUAGGGAAUCUUCGGCAAUGGGGGCAACCCUGACCGAGCAACGCCGCGUGAGUGAAGAAGGUUUUCGGAUCGUAAAGCUCUGUUGUAAGUCAAGAACGGGUGUGAGAGUGGAAAGUUCACACUGUGACGGUAGCUUACCAGAAAGGGACGGCUAACUACGUG